RNAcentral lists this ribosomal RNA (253 nucleotides) under uncultured bacterium. RNAcentral describes it as "partial 16S ribosomal RNA". It matches the Rfam family "Bacterial small subunit ribosomal RNA", at positions 524 to 776 of the family's 1533-position model. The record is from RNAcentral.
UACGUAGGUGGCAAGCGUUGUCCGGAAUUACUGGGCGUAAAGGGUGCGUAGGCGGAUAUUUAAGUAGAAAGUGAAAGGUUGGAGCUCAACUCCACCAUUGCUUCCUAUACUGGGUGUCCUGAGUUUCGGAGAGGAAGAUGGAACGACACGUGGAGCGGUGAAAUGCGGUGAUAGGUGUCGGAACACCAAUAGCGAAGGCAAUCUUCUGGACGAAUACUGACGCUGAGGCACGAAAGCCAAGGUAGCGAACAGG